UGGGUUCAAAUCAGAUCUGAUUUGAUUUGGAAUCAAAUUGAAAAUAAAGAAUCUCAGUCAAUUGGGACUCUCUCCCUUGCACAAGCCCUAGGUCCCAUGCCAUCUCCUUUAAUGUAAAAAUAUGUUUUGUGUGAAAUCUUUGGGUGUGAGAGAGGAGGGCACAGAGAGGGGUGGGUGGCACUCUUGAUGAGUCAUAGAUCCUAUCUCUUUUCUGAUUUGAAUUUGAUCCAAAUCGAAGAUAAGGAAAUAAGA
This 252-nucleotide long non-coding RNA is filed under the name Elaeis guineensis (African oil palm). RNAcentral describes it as "long non-coding RNA (EGUI_LNC056287)". The record is from RNAcentral. Lineage: Eukaryota; Viridiplantae; Streptophyta; Magnoliopsida; Arecales; Arecaceae.